GCCCGGGUGGCGAAAUCGGUAGCCGCGGGGGUCUUAAAAACCUCCGUCCGCAAGGACGUGUGGGUUCGAAUCCCACCCCGGGCA
RNAcentral lists this transfer RNA (84 nucleotides) under Acidimicrobiia bacterium. Its description in RNAcentral is "tRNA-Leu". It matches the Rfam family "tRNA". Rfam says of the family: Transfer RNA (tRNA) molecules are approximately 80 nucleotides in length. Their secondary structure includes four short double-helical elements and three loops (D, anti-codon, and T loops). Lineage: Bacteria; Bacillati; Actinomycetota; Acidimicrobiia. The record is from RNAcentral.